GUGCCGGCCCACGGGCGCUGCUCCUUCGCCCAGGCACGGCCUGAUUAGUAAACGGGCCGGCCCAAUGGCCCGUUUAGCACGCUGGGCUGCACAAAACUUGAGUAAGUAUCAAGUCAAAUACAUUUGGAAAAAACAGGAUGCUACUCCACUGAACUAUACACAUAUCAGCCAGGAUUCAGCCUGCAUUUCGCCUCAUGAGAUCAGCUUGUGUGUUGCCUUGUGUACAGUGCAGAAGAGAUCAGUUUCUUACGAAUUUCUAUAUUUGUCAGGCACAGUUGCGAAGAAAGCCAUAUAUUUCUCAUUUCAAUGGUGAGUAAUUUUCUUUUUGUACCUACAAUGGCAGAAAGUAUUCCGUAAGUAUCCCAAGUAUAUAUAUAACAAAAUGAGUACACGAGGAGAGAAGUGUAUAAUCAAAGGGAGCACAUAACAAAUGAGAAUCAUCUUCUUCAUGCUGUUUUCCACAUAUGGAGUUCAUGAGCAGGAAUACAAAACGGGCUGAUUUUCACUGAACUUGUGUAGAAUCACGUAUUUUGAAAUGGCAAUAAGACAUGGGCCACUACUUGAAACUGUAACCAAUAUUCUUCAGACACCAUACUGAGUUCUUUAGCAACCAUAUGGAGUUCAAACAGACAGAAUAUUGCCUAUCUAUUUCAGGGAUUGCCUAUAUUCUUCAGCAAACCAUACAGAGUUGAAACAGACAGAAUAUUACCUAUCUAGUUCAGGGAUUGCAUAUUUUCUAUCUAGUUCAACCAUAAGAUUUCCUUGACUGUACUGCCGACCCUUGGUAACAUAAAUAUAACAGUAGUGAUCCGUGAUGAAAAACAGACAAUGUCGAUGGUUAACCAAUUAAUAAACCCCUUCACAGUUCAAAGACCACGUUCCCUUAGGACCAAAUAGAGAAUAGGAAAUUUAUUCAAAACCAAUUCUGCAGUACUAAUACGUCAUGGAGAACAGCUAUUGUCAAUAUGUCAACAAUUAAAUCAAUUCACAUGUGUUUUCACCCAGAGAAUCCAAGACAGGAGCAACUAGUCAAGCAGCAUGCACCAACGGAGUAGUUAGAUUAGGAUUGAGAAAUAUUAGUUACUUAUCCGGAAGCUGUCCGCCUUUUGAUGGCUUUUCCGUUCAAAUAAAGAUGGCUCUUGCUAGCCACUGUGUUUUCACCCUCACGCUAUAUCUCAAAUCUUCUCAUUUUCAGUGGACUUCAACCAGGCAAAAGCGAUCUUUCACAGGAUUAUUACAUAAGUAAAUUUUGAUAUCCUAAGCAGAGAAAUACAUAGGUAGGUGGUCACUUAUCACAAGACGAAGUUAAAUUUUUUUGGAAUCAAGAGUAUGUUUCGAUUCAGUUCACCAGCAGUAAGUAUGAGAUUAUUGGUCAACUAUACUUGCAACUAAAGUGGCUCCUAAUUUGCAAUUCUAACUAUUGACCAACUACAACACGUGAGCACAUGCACAGCUAUAUUUGAGUUCCUUGCAGAUUGCAAAAGAAAACACAGACAAGCAAAUAUAACUGGGUCUUUACUCACAUUGAUUAUUAAAGAACCAAUACCGUGCACUAUAGAGAAAUCAAAUUGGAACCUGGUCGCAGCAUCAAUGAUUUAGGCUCUAAACAAAUUUGGCAGGCAACAAGUGGAAGUGUAAUUGCUCAGGUAAAGGCUAAACAUGUUGCACCGCCACUCUUCCUCAGUCAUCAAUAAUUCCUGGUUGAGCUC
Molecule: long non-coding RNA, 1709 nt
Filed under: Triticum aestivum (bread wheat)
Lineage: Eukaryota; Viridiplantae; Streptophyta; Magnoliopsida; Poales; Poaceae
Description: long non-coding RNA (TAES_LNC000351)
Source: RNAcentral